Molecule: ribosomal RNA, 81 nt
Filed under: Myzus persicae (green peach aphid)
Lineage: Eukaryota; Metazoa; Arthropoda; Insecta; Hemiptera; Aphididae
Description: partial 28S ribosomal RNA
Rfam family: Eukaryotic large subunit ribosomal RNA
Source: RNAcentral
CCGACCUCAGAUCAGGCGGGACUACCCGCCGGAUUUAAGCAUAUUAAUAAGCGGAGGAAAAGAAAACAACCGUGAUUCCCC